RNAcentral lists this ribosomal RNA (430 nucleotides) under uncultured bacterium. RNAcentral describes it as "partial 16S ribosomal RNA". It matches the Rfam family "Bacterial small subunit ribosomal RNA", at positions 29 to 506 of the family's 1533-position model. The record is from RNAcentral.
AACGAACGCUGGCGGCAGGCUUAACACAUGCAAGUCGAGCGCCCCGCAAGGGGAGCGGCAGACGGGUGAGUAACGCGUGGGAACGUACCUUUUGGUUCGGAACAACUCCGGGAAACUGGAGCUAAUACCGGAUAAGCCCUAACGGGGAAAGAUUUAUCGCCGAAAGAUCGGCCCGCGUCUGAUUAGCUAGUUGGUGAGGUAACGGCUCACCAAGGCGACGAUCAGUAGCUGGUCUGAGAGGAUGAUCAGCCACACUGGGACUGAGGCACGGCCCAGACUCCUACGGGAGGCAGCAGUGGGGAAUAUUGGACAAUGGGCGCAAGCCUGAUCCAGCCAUGCCGCGUGAGUGAUGAAGGCCUUAGGGUUGUAAAGCUCUUUUGUCCGGGAAGAUAAUGACUGUACCGGAAGAAUAAGCCCCGGCUAACUUCGU